ACUCCUACGGGAGGCAGCAGUGGGGAAUAUUGCACAAUGGGCGCAAGCCUGAUGCAGCCAUGCCGCGUGUAUGAAGAAGGCCUUCGGGUUGUAAAGUACUUUCAGCAGUGAGGAAGGUGGGUAUGUUAAUAGCAUAUUCAUUUGACGUUAGCUGCAGAAGAAGCACCGGCUAACUCCGUGCCAGCAGCCGCGGUAAUACGGAGGGUGCGAGCGUUAAUCGGAAUUACUGGGCGUAAAGCGCAUGCAGGUGGUUUGUUAAGUCAGAUGUGAAAGCCCGGGGCUCAACCUCGGAAUUGCAUUUGAAACUGGCAAACUAGAGUACUGUAGAGGGGGGUAGAAUUUCAGGUGUAGCGGUGAAAUGCGUAGAGAUCUGAAGGAAUACCGGUGGCGAAGGCGGCCCCCUGGACAGAUACUGACACUCAGAUGCGAAAGCGUGGGGAGCAAACAGGAUUAGAUACCCUGGUAGGCUCU
This 471-nucleotide ribosomal RNA is filed under the name uncultured bacterium. RNAcentral describes it as "bacterial SSU rRNA". It matches the Rfam family "Bacterial small subunit ribosomal RNA", at positions 335 to 798 of the family's 1533-position model. The record is from RNAcentral.